Molecule: ribosomal RNA, 460 nt
Filed under: uncultured bacterium
Lineage: Bacteria
Description: partial 16S ribosomal RNA
Rfam family: Bacterial small subunit ribosomal RNA
Source: RNAcentral
CCUACGGGUGGCAGCAGUGAGGAAUAUUGGUCAAUGGGCGCGAGCCUGAACCAGCCAAGUCGCGUGAGGGAUGACUGCCCUACGGGUUGUAAACUUCUUUUAUCAAGGCAUAAAGUGAGGCACGUGUGCCUUUUUUUAUGUACUUUAUGAAUAAGCAUCGGCUAACUCCGUUCCAGCAGCCGCGGUAAUACGGAGGAUCCGAGCGUUAUCCGGAUUUCUUGGGUUUAAAGGGAGCGUAGAUAGGUUGUUAAGUCAGUUGUGAAAGUUUGCGGCUCAACCGUGAAAGUGCAAUUGAUACUGGCAGGAUUGAGUACAGUUGAGGUAGGCGGAAGGCGUGGUGUAGCGGUGAAAUGCUUAGAUAUCACGAAGAACUCCGAGUGCGAAGGCAGCAUACUAGAGUGCAACUGACAUUGAUGCACGAAAGUGUGGGUAUCAAACAGGAUUAGAUACCCGAGUAGUC